RNAcentral lists this small nucleolar RNA (107 nucleotides) under Theobroma cacao (cacao). RNAcentral's name for it is "Plant small nucleolar RNA R71". It matches the Rfam family "Plant small nucleolar RNA R71". From Rfam's summary of the family: R71 is a member of the C/D box family of snoRNAs containing the C (UGAUGA) and D (CUGA) box motifs. Multiple nearly identical copies of this snoRNA have been identified in Arabidopsis, and it is thought to function as a 2'-O-ribose methylation guide for 18S ribosomal RNA. Lineage: Eukaryota; Viridiplantae; Streptophyta; Magnoliopsida; Malvales; Malvaceae. The record is from Rfam by way of RNAcentral.
AGACCAUGAUAAGGACAACGCCGAAGUCAUUCUUUGAAUCUUUCCCAUGCAUCGUACAAUGAUUUAGAAUCUUACUACAUGAAUGAUGUGAUAUCAUUCCUCAUUUU